Molecule: transfer RNA, 77 nt
Filed under: Pleurocapsa sp. SU_196_0
Lineage: Bacteria; Bacillati; Cyanobacteriota; Cyanophyceae; Pleurocapsales; Pleurocapsaceae
Description: tRNA-Arg
Rfam family: tRNA
About the family: Transfer RNA (tRNA) molecules are approximately 80 nucleotides in length.
Source: RNAcentral
GCGCCCGUAGCUCAGCUGGAUAGAGCAUCGGCCUUCUAAGCCGAGGGUCGGGGGUUCGAAUCCCUCCAGGCGCGCCA